This 2849-nucleotide long non-coding RNA is filed under the name Canis lupus familiaris (dog). RNAcentral describes it as "lncRNA (ENSCAFG00845028030.1)". The record is from RNAcentral. Lineage: Eukaryota; Metazoa; Chordata; Mammalia; Carnivora; Canidae.
AUAGGACAGAGUGCAGAGGACUCUUAGGAUAGGAAAAUCACUCUGUAUUGUAGUAUAAUGGUAUAUACAUGUCAUCAUACAUUUGUCCAAAUCCAUAGAAUGUAUGACACCAAAAGUGAACCAAUCUAAGCCAUGGACUUUGGACAAUAAUGAUCUGUCAAUGUAGGUUGAUCAAUGGUAACAAAUAUACCACUUUGGUGUGCUUAAUUUUCUGACCCUAAAACUGCCCCAAGAUAUGAACUCCAAUCAAAUAAUUAAAUAGCAAAAAAGGAUCACAUAAAAUUCAGAAAUUUUUCUAUUAAAAAGCCAAUCUUGGACAUUUGGAAACAUUCAGAUGAUUUAUGUUUUCUGUUCUUUUGUGACUGCUAACUUUCUAUAAAUUCAGGCACUGUAUUUGAUUCUGACUAUAUAAGUGACCCCGCAGUUUGUUCUCCUGAACAUAUGGUAUUGAUUGUUUGAAUUUUAAACUUUCUCUCUAAACACGAUUCUAUCAUUUUGAUUAAAAAAAUCUUACCACUUAGUUUGAAGAGAUAAUGACCAUAACAGUUGUUUGUUUUCUUUUAGAAAUAGCUGUAGACUAAAUGCUAAUGUUGACUUCUGCAGCCUUGAUAUAGUCAUUAAUUACUGUUAAAGCCCAAAUGUACUGUCCAAGAUUAAGUACUAUGCACAUUUCAGUAAAGGUAGCUCCAACUUUUCUUUUAGGAACACCUAAUUAUUUGUUAUUUUAAUAGAGGCUUGUAUGAGUACUUUUCAACAUUUUAAACUAUGUUAUUCCAUUCCAAAAGUGGGUAUGAAGAAACAUCCUUCCACUGGGGACAAGAUCUAGUCUCAUUCAGUUGUUCUCUUGAAGUUAGAAUUAAUGGAGUGAAAGUAUCUCAAUCUUCCUCUAAACUUGGUGUGACAUCCAAAAAAACUUGUGUCAUGGAAGAAUACAUAGGAAAGCUAUUCCUUCUUUGCUUCAUUUCCUUUUUAUAAUUGGACCUUUGGGCAGUGAAAUAAGACAGGAUGGCUUGAUCUAUGCUUGAAAUGUGAAGAUGCUAAGGUUAUGCUAAUUUUACUUCCAAGACCCUGAUAAUUCGGUUGUACAAUUCAUCUUCUGUAGUGAGCAAUGUGGUAGAUAACCCACAUUCAGAAUUAAUUACCAUAAAUCAGAAGUAGAUUCAUUGUAUUGCUGUGAGAUCUUUCAUUUCCCAGGAGGAAAUGUCCCAUCUACAAAUGAACCCUUUACAGGUUCAAUUAUGUCUUCUCAUCUCUUUUCAUUUUUAGUCUCACACAACGUCUGUAAUUUAGUUUUUUAUAUUUUCUUUUAUACAGAAAGUAUCCAACUGCUAGGAAGUAGUCCAAUUAUCACUAGUGAUAGAACAAAUAGAAAAAUGACAGUGUUCCCCAAAACUAUAUGCUUAGUUAUAAGUCUGCAGCUGCCCUUUCCUUAUGACCAUUUGGUUCAAUUAAGUGAACAUCAUUUCAAAUUUGUUAUUGAACAAAGAAAAUAGUUAGAUUGAAGUUGAAAAAAAAUUAAAAAUGGUUUCUCUUUACCAUAAAAUGAGUCUUGACUAUGCCGAUACAAACAUCUCUCUAAUUGUACUACAUUGAUCAUAGUGAAGAUACUAGAAGUAUAUUGACCCUGUAUGACAAAUAGCCCAUACUGAAGAAUUCUGAAUACCUCAUGUUUCCUUGUUCAAUACACUUAUAUAGAGAAAAACUGAUAAGCAAGCAAUAAUUAUAAUUUCCUUUACUAUAGUCAAUCUUUUUUAAGCUUUGUGACUUUCCUAAAUAACAAAGCCUUGUGUCUGGAAAAAUUACUCAACCAUAAUACAAUCUUACUGCCAUGUCCUACCAGGUUCUUUGGAUUUUAAAAUGAAUUUAUCAUCUCUAACACGAGUUAAUCUAAACAUUGUUGUUGUUCUUACUUUUACAAGUAAUGCCCAGGAUUAGUCAGAGGAACAUAAUGUUCAAUGUAAAUAAACCCAAAAUAAUCCUUUUCUUGGAGUUGCACUCUUUCAGGUCUUACAUUAGCCUGUGGCAGAUAACUGGGGCCAUGCUUGUCCUGAAGGGUCAGCUUAACCACAGGACCAUGGUCAAUUUAAUACAGCUUAUUUAUUCUAGUUCCCCAUGAAUUUGGUUUUGAAAACAUCUUUAAAACUUUUUGAUCCUAACAUUAUUCUUGAGUCAUAAAAAGGCUCCUGCCAUGGUUAUAAGUUUUAUCUUUACCUUUCCCCUACAAUUGCCCUGGUUAUUUUGUAGUCAGAUGCGUCCAGAAUUAAUUAGCCUGAAAGGCUGAAUAAAACAAUGUUAACAUGAAGUACCCAACUUUGCUAGUCCUCUGCUCCCACCAGUGAAGAAAUGUUACAGAUCUAUUUCUCCAACAUCUUCAAUCAUUUCUCUCUGUCCACCAAUACGUUUUUCAUGAUAAAAAUUUUCUAGUGAUAUUUUUAGUCAUUCUUCAUAAAUAUAUUUUUUUCAUAUUUUAAUGUAAAAGUAAUAUUGAAAAUGCAGACAGUCCUACAAGAGAAGUACCCUGGUAUAUAAUGGAUAGCUCAUAGAUUCUUCUAACCAUUGGAUUUUGCCUCCAUUAUUAACCAGUUAUGUGAUCAAUUAACAUUAACUUUCCUGAGAUUUGAUUUCAUUUUCUAUUAAUGUGAACAAUGCUUUUAUCAAAGGACUUUUGGAGAACAUGACAGCAUGUGGUACAGAAUAAGAGCUCAGGUAUCAGUUCUUUACCUGCUUUGUUACCUUCUUUGUUACAAAAAUUAUUCAACAACAUCAAGUUAACAUAGAACACAUAUCUGUCAAAUACAGUUGCUAUUAUCCUUGGGCAGAUGAGAAAAUAAAUGUUCACUGAGAACCAU